RNAcentral lists this ribosomal RNA (253 nucleotides) under uncultured bacterium. RNAcentral describes it as "partial 16S ribosomal RNA". It matches the Rfam family "Bacterial small subunit ribosomal RNA", at positions 524 to 776 of the family's 1533-position model. The record is from RNAcentral.
CACGUAGGGCGCGAGCGUUGUCCGGAAUUAUUGGGCGUAAAGAGCUCGUAGGCGGCCUGUUGCGUCCGCUGUGAAAGCCCGGGGCUUAACCCCGGGUCGGCAGUGGAUACGGGCAGGCUAGAGUUCGGUAGGGGAGACUGGAAUUCCUGGUGUAGCGGUGAAAUGCGCAGAUAUCAGGAGGAACACCGGUGGCGAAGGCGGGUCUCUGGGCCGAUACUGACGCUGAGGAGCGAAAGCGUGGGGAGCGAACAGG